This 73-nucleotide microRNA precursor is filed under the name Aedes aegypti (yellow fever mosquito). Lineage: Eukaryota; Metazoa; Arthropoda; Insecta; Diptera; Culicidae. The record is from RNAcentral.
GGCGAUUGUCGGACUAGUCGCUGCGUACAAAACGGAACUAUUUCAACUAGUGACUAGACCGAACACUCGCGUC